CGGAGGGGGCUAGCGUUGUUCGGAAUUACUGGGCGUAAAGCGCACGUAGGCGGCUUUGUAAGUUAGAGGUGAAAGCCCGGAGCUCAACUCCGGAAUUGCCUUUAAGACUGCAUCGCUAGAACGUCGGAGAGGUGAGUGGAAUUCCGAGUGUAGAGGUGAAAUUCGUAGAUAUUCGGAAGAACACCAGUGGCGAAGGCGACUCACUGGACGACUGUUGACGCUGAGGUGCGAAAGCGUGGGGAGCAAACAGGA
This 252-nucleotide ribosomal RNA is filed under the name uncultured Sphingomonas sp. RNAcentral's name for it is "partial 16S ribosomal RNA". It matches the Rfam family "Bacterial small subunit ribosomal RNA", at positions 526 to 777 of the family's 1533-position model. The record is from RNAcentral. Lineage: Bacteria; Pseudomonadati; Pseudomonadota; Alphaproteobacteria; Sphingomonadales; Sphingomonadaceae.